This 242-nucleotide ribosomal RNA is filed under the name Enterobacter cloacae. Its description in RNAcentral is "partial 16S ribosomal RNA". It matches the Rfam family "Bacterial small subunit ribosomal RNA", at positions 739 to 980 of the family's 1533-position model. The record is from RNAcentral. Lineage: Bacteria; Pseudomonadati; Pseudomonadota; Gammaproteobacteria; Enterobacterales; Enterobacteriaceae.
ACUGACGCUCAGGUGCGAAAGCGUGGGGAGCAAACAGGAUUAGAUACCCUGGUAGUCCACGCCGUAAACGAUGUCUAUUUGGAGUUUGUGCCCUUCAGCCCUUUCUUCCUGAGCUUACCCCUUUAAUCAACCGCCUGGGGAAUACGGCCCCCAGGUUUAAACUUCAAUGAAUUUACCGGGGCCCCCCCCAACCGUUGAACCUUUUGUUUAAUUCCAUACCACCCCAAAAACCUUACCUGGUC